GCAUUUGUAGUCCGACGGUUAGGAUAAUUGCCUUCCAAGCAAUAGAUCCGAGUUCACUUCCUGGCAAAUGUA
Molecule: transfer RNA, 72 nt
Filed under: Jatropha curcas
Lineage: Eukaryota; Viridiplantae; Streptophyta; Magnoliopsida; Malpighiales; Euphorbiaceae
Rfam family: tRNA
About the family: Transfer RNA (tRNA) molecules are approximately 80 nucleotides in length. Their secondary structure includes four short double-helical elements and three loops (D, anti-codon, and T loops).
Source: Rfam by way of RNAcentral